AUGAACGCCGGCGGUGUGCCUAAUACAUGCAAGUCGAACGCGUUGGCCCAAUUGAUUGAUGGUGCUUGCACCUGAUUGAUUUUGGUCGCCAACGAGUGGCGGACGGGUGAGUAACACGUAGGUAACCUGCCCAGAAGCGGGGGACAACAUUUGGAAACAGAUGCUAAUACCGCAUAACAGCGUUGUUCGCAUGAACAACGCUUAAAAGAUGGCUUCUCGCUAUCACUUCUGGAUGGACCUGCGGUGCAUUAGCUUGUUGGUGGGGUAACGGCCUACCAAGGCGAUGAUGCAUAGCCGAGUUGAGAGACUGAUCGGCCACAAUGGGACUGAGACACGGCCCAUACUCCUACGGGAGGCAGCAGUAGGGAAUCUUCCACAAUGGGCGCAAGCCUGAUGGAGCAACACCGCGUGAGUGAAGAAGGGUUUCGGCUCGUAAAGCUCUGUUGUUAAAGAAGAACACGUAUGAGAGUAACUGUUCAUACGUUGACGGUAUUUAACCAGAAAGUCACGGCUAACUACGUGCCAGCAGCCGCGGUAAUACGUAGGUGGCAAGCGUUAUCCGGAUUUAUUGGGCGUAAAGAGAGUGCAGGCGGUUUUCUAAGUCUGAUGUGAAAGCCUUCGGCUUAACCGGAGAAGUGCAUCGGAAACUGGAUAACUUGAGUGCAGAAGAGGGUAGUGGAACUCCAUGUGUAGCGGUGGAAUGCGUAGAUAUAUGGAAGAACACCAGUGGCGAAGGCGGCUACCUGGUCUGCAACUGACGCUGAGACUCGAAAGCAUGGGUAGCGAACAGGAUUAGAUACCCUGGUAGUCCAUGCCGUAAACGAUGAGUGCUAGGUGUUGGAGGGUUUCCGCCCUUCAGUGCCGGAGCUAACGCAUUAAGCACUCCGCCUGGGGAGUACGACCGCAAGGUUGAAACUCAAAGGAAUUGACGGGGGCCCGCACAAGCGGUGGAGCAUGUGGUUUAAUUCGAAGCUACGCGAAGAACCUUACCAGGUCUUGACAUCUUGCGCCAACCCUAGAGAUAGGGCGUUUCCUUCGGGAACGCAAUGACAGGUGGUGCAUGGUCGUCGUCAGCUCGUGUCGUGAGAUGUUGGGUUAAGUCCCGCAACGAGCGCAACCCUUGUUACUAGUUGCCAGCAUUAAGUUGGGCACUCUAGUGAGACUGCCGGUGACAAACCGGAGGAAGGUGGGGACGACGUCAGAUCAUCAUGCCCCUUAUGACCUGGGCUACACACGUGCUACAAUGGACGGUACAACGAGUCGCGAACUCGCGAGGGCAAGCAAAUCUCUUAAAACCGUUCUCAGUUCGGACUGCAGGCUGCAACUCGCCUGCACGAAGUCGGAAUCGCUAGUAAUCGCGGAUCAGCAUGCCGCGGUGAAUACGUUCCCGGGCCUUGUACACACCGCCCGUCACACCAUGAGAGUUUGUAACACCCAAAGUCGGUGGGGUAACCUUUUAGGAGCCAGCCGCCUAAGGUGGGACAGAUGAUUAGGGUGAAGUCG
This 1503-nucleotide ribosomal RNA is filed under the name Limosilactobacillus fermentum. RNAcentral's name for it is "bacterial SSU rRNA". It matches the Rfam family "Bacterial small subunit ribosomal RNA". Lineage: Bacteria; Bacillati; Bacillota; Bacilli; Lactobacillales; Lactobacillaceae. The record is from RNAcentral.